CUCCAACCCUUUUGUGAACAUACCUAUCGUUGCUUCGGCGGACUCGCCCCAGCGUCCGGCCGGCCCCGCGCCGGCCGCGGCCUGGAUCCAGGCGGCCGCCGGAGACCCCCAAACUCUGUAUUCUCAGUAUCUUCUGAAUCCGCCGCAAGGCAAAACAAAUGAAUCAAAACUUUCAACAACGGAUCUCUUGGUUCUGGCAUCGAUGAAGAACGCAGCGAAAUGCGAUAAGUAAUGUGAAUUGCAGAAUUCAGUGAAUCAUCGAAUCUUUGAACGCACAUUGCGCCCGCCAGCAUUCUGGCGGGCAUGCCUGUUCGAGCGUCAUUUCAACCCUCGACUUCCCUUUGGGGAAAUCGGCGUUGGGGACCGGCCGUAUACCGCCGGCCCCGAAAUGAAGUGGCGGCCCGUCCGCGGCGACCUCUGCGUAGUAAUCCAACUCGCACCGGAACCCCGACGUGGCCACGCCGUAAAACCCCCGACUUCUGAACGUUGACCUCGGAUCAGGUAGGAAUACCCGCUGAACUUAAGCAUAUCAAUAAGCGGAGGA
Molecule: ribosomal RNA, 544 nt
Filed under: Cordyceps farinosa
Lineage: Eukaryota; Fungi; Ascomycota; Sordariomycetes; Hypocreales; Cordycipitaceae
Description: eukaryotic LSU rRNA
Rfam family: 5.8S ribosomal RNA (bases 168-321)
Source: RNAcentral